This is a non-coding RNA of Chroicocephalus ridibundus (black-headed gull), 345 nucleotides long. The record is from the annotation of a RefSeq genome assembly. Lineage: Eukaryota; Metazoa; Chordata; Aves; Charadriiformes; Laridae.
AUGUUGCUGCUCCCAGUCCUUCUUGCAACCUCAUUGUGGUCCCGUGGAGAUGCACAGGCAGCACCAGUGCAAACCCCGGAGCUGCAGAGGCAAGUGAAAAGGAGGUCUGCCAGCACAGCGUGCGAAAUGAAUUCUGAAGCCACCAUACACUGGUACAAGCAGCUUCCUGGAGAGCCACCGAAGAGGAUUCUGUACAUGUCAGAACAGUCUCCAGCUUUCGAUGACAGCGGCAAGAGACGAAGAUUUCAAGCUCAGAAGCCUCCAACAGAGCCCCUCUAUGGUCUCACCAUAGAUUCUUUAAUGCCAAGGGAUUCUGGCACCUACUACUGUGCCUACUGGCGGUCC